GUCCAUGCUGUAAACGAUGAAUGUUAAUUAUAUAAAAAUUUUUAUGUAAUUUAGUUAACACGUUAAACAUUCCGCCUGGGGAGUACGGCCGCAAGGUUAAAACUCAAAUGAAUUGACGGAAAUCCGCACAAGCGGUGGAGCAUGUGGUUUAAUGCGAUACAACGCGCAAAACCUUACCAGUUCUUGAAUAUAAAAGUUUUAAAGUUACAAAUUUAAAAUAAAUAUUUUUUAUUAUUAUAUAAAAUAUUAUUUUAUACAGGUGCUGCAUGGCUGUCGU
This 277-nucleotide ribosomal RNA is filed under the name uncultured bacterium. RNAcentral describes it as "partial 16S ribosomal RNA". It matches the Rfam family "Bacterial small subunit ribosomal RNA", at positions 793 to 1055 of the family's 1533-position model. The record is from RNAcentral.